This is a long non-coding RNA of Salvelinus fontinalis (brook trout), 315 nucleotides long. RefSeq lists it as uncharacterized. The record is from RefSeq and is a predicted model, not a curated record. The transcript has 5 exons. Lineage: Eukaryota; Metazoa; Chordata; Actinopteri; Salmoniformes; Salmonidae.
GGGGGUCAACAUGUUGGAGGUGCUCCGUCAUGCUACACUAUACUGGGGUGAUGGGGGGGGUCAACAUGGUGGAGGUGCUCCGUCAUGCUACACUAUACUGGGGUGAUGGGGGGGGUCAACAUGUUGGAGGUGCUCCGUCAUGCUACACUAUACUGGGGUGAUGGGGGGGGUCAACAUGUUGGAGGUGCUCCGUCAUGCUACACUAUACUGGGGUGAUGGGGGGGUCAACAUGUUGGAGGUGCUCCGUCAUGCUACACUAUACUGGGGUGAUGGGGGGGUCAACAUGUUGGAGGUGCUCCGUCAUGCUACACUAUA